Molecule: long non-coding RNA, 571 nt
Organism: Gasterosteus aculeatus aculeatus (three-spined stickleback)
Lineage: Eukaryota; Metazoa; Chordata; Actinopteri; Perciformes; Gasterosteidae
Source: Ensembl
CAAAAUGAAUGAAAGGUCAAAUACUGAAAUGGAAGAUUGAAAAGAAGAUUAAAGAGAUUAUAGUAUAGUGCCGAAAAAUAUUAUAUUGUCCUGCACUGGACUAUAUUACUGUUCUACACUGGACAACUACAACCAAAGCAAAAGAGUUUUCUUACCAAUCCAGAUUCAUCGCUGGAAUGUCUUAUUGUAGAUAUCGCCUCCCUGCACUCCUCACCAAAUAGCUGUUGGCAGGUUGAUAGAGAUUCUCGCCUGGUUUUUGGACCAUCCUGAAGAACGGUCUUGGAACGACCCCGCAAGCCAGCAAAGAACACCCUCAACCAUCUGCCAAGAAAUAUUACAUUGUUAUGGCAUGCUUACGAAUAACGGUGGAAUCAGAUGAAUGGGAUAAAGCUGGGGAUAGUGCAGUCUGUGCCACUACCAAGGAUGAAUGGGAUGAAGUUGGGGACAGCGAUGUCAAUACAGAGGAGGAUGCUUGAUCUGCAACCAGCUCAACAUCCAGAUCUACAAAAUGGCAGACAGAACAAAGACAAUUUAAAUGUACCUAUCAGUAACAAAACAAUCUCAAUCUUAA